UCAUAGAUAUGGUUUCUCUCUGAUACUGAACGGCUUCCAAUUUCAAGUAGAAUGCUACAUCAGAAGAAUAACGAUGGGAAGAGAACCGGUUUCUUGUGUAAUCCAACAUGUUUUAGUCUGCGCAUUACAAACCAUUAUUUGAAGAAGGGUGGACAGGCUCUGGUAGCAUGUUAGUCGGCUGAGUGGCGGAAGAUGGGGCGGGAAAGUUGACGGAGACGGGAAAGGCGCUGUCGGUGACAUCACGGAUAGGGCGACUUCUAUGUAGAUGAGGCAGCGCAGGGGCCGCUGCUUCUCCACCUGCUGCUUCGCCACGAAGGAGUUCCGUGCUGUGGGAGCGAGUCCAGGACAGCUGGUCGGACCUCAGAGUCCCAGCUGUGUGUCAGGGCUAGGAGGGCUCGGGGACGCGCGGGGCAAGUGACCGUGCGUGUAAAGGUUGAGGCGUAUGGAGCUGUGGCGGGGCGGAGGUGUGCAAAUCCGUAGUUACCUGGGAGGGAAGAUAGUAUUGUGAAGAUCGUUUUUCCAGAGUGAGGUUUUUUCUAUUGUGUGUACUGAUUCUUGCGAUUUUCCUAAAUGUAGGAAAUUCCACUGCAUAAUUUGUGGUAGUGGGGGGGGCUGCGUUAGUGAAUUCCGCUGAGAUACUGCAGUGCAAAACGUGAGCUCUACGCGAAGGGCUACUCUUAGUUUCUAUGGGUUUGUAGCUUUGACGGCAUGUUAAGUGUCGUCCUUACUGUCUCAAGCGUGAGAAACAGAAAGUAUCGCGUUACGGUCCUCUCCGCCGCUGUCGUGAGCUUAUUUAACACAAACUAAGUGGCCGCAGGGCUCUUCCCCAACCUUUCUAUGUGGGGCUGCUUUUUGCAGACUUUGCUUCAUGGUCUCCAGUCUCUUGGGUUCUCUGUGAAAACCUUCGUGUUUUUUCGUAGCCUCCAGAGUCACCCUUCACACAGCCUCUGCUUCUAACCGCAGCCCCCGCAGUAGUUUGUAGGAUUUCUGUGCUAGCAGGGAAUGUGUUCUCACCUCCUAGAGCCAGGUAGAAACUCUACGCAGACGGGUGCUGUUCUUUGGGAUGAGAGCAGUGUCCCCGUUCCGUUGUAGACACAACACGCUUGCUUUCUGUAGGGGAACGGCUCUCCCCGCGCCCAGGUGCCCUUGCUUAUAUUAACCAAGGCCCGUAGGUCGGAAUCGCAGUCUCACCUGUCGGCAGAAUGUGCUGCGAUCUACCCCAACUACCCGAACUACCCAGCAAUAAAAUGGGACACAUUACGGAAACAUGAGAUAAAAUGGAUCAUCUCAAAAACAUUAUGCCGAGUGAUGAAAAGAGUGCAUCCUGUGUGGCGCCAUCAAGGUGAAUUUCUAGAACAGAUAUACCACAAGACCAUGAGUCAAGUGUUGCCCGAAUGUCCGAGGCCCAGGUCGCCCUGAGAAGGGGUGGGGACUUCCUGGGUCGCUGGGUCCCUGGCGGGGGGGGUCCGGGCCUCCGAUUGCACGGGGCUAGGAGGCUCGCCCAGGAAGGGGACCCUGCAGGCUCGGUGAUCCCAACAGGAUGAUUCAGCAAUUUCCCCGUGGUCCGGGCCACUGUGAUAACUCGGUUUCUGGGACCCCGAACACCGAAGAGGGAGACGAAGAGGGUGACAUCGCGAGGCUGAGACAGCGGGAGCAGAAGGGACACCGAGACCUGCAGCGCAGAGCUUCUGAACAUCAGCGGAAUCUCCAUUCCAUUUAGGAAGUAAAACACGGCCUUACCAUGCCAAUGAAACACAAAGGUUCCACCGAGACUCGAACUCGGAUCGCUGGAUUCAGAGUCCAGAGUGCUUACCAUUACACCAUGGAACCAUGCAACAUAAAGUUGUUAAAGGUGUCUGAAUUAGUUCCCACCCACCCAUGUUAAGGCAUUUCUUUAGAUUCCACAAGCAACACUUAAGGUAGGUGGACCUGCAGGAAGGAGCCAUCCUUCUUGCUUUCUCUCUGCCCUCUCCGUUGAUCGACUUCUGUCAUUUCAUUUGCACCCCGGAAAAAGAGGCAAAAUCCACUGUGGGUUUAGGGCCAGAGAAGAGCCCUUGAAGCCUCGGUCAUAGAGUUUCCUGUGCCGAGGUGAAAUUCCUUCCUUCCCUUCCCCUCCCUCCCUCCCUUCCUCCCUCCCUCCCUCCCUCCCUCCCUCCCUCCCUCCCUUCCUUCCUUCCUUCCUUCCUUCCUUCAUUCCUUCUUUCCUUUCUCUCUCUCUCUUUCUUUCUUUCAUUCAAGCUUCGGUGGCAGAGUUUCCUGUGCCGAGAUUAACUUCCCUUCCCUUCCCUCCCCUCCCCUCCCCUCCCUUCCCUUCCCUUCCUCUCUUUUCAUUGAGACAGAGUCUCCUUCUGUUGCUCAGACUGGAGUGCAAUGCAGUGGCAGUGGGUGAUCUCCCCUCACUGCAACCUCCAUCUGUCGGGUUCAAGUGAUUGUAAUCCCCAGUGGCUGGGAUUACAAGCAUGGGCCACCAUGUCCGGCUAAUUUUUGUAUAUUUGGUAGAGAUGAGGUUUUGCCAUGUUGGCCAGGCUGGUCUCAAACUCUUGACCUCAAGUGAUUCGCCCGCCUUGGCCUCCGGAAGUGCUGGGAUUACAGGCGUGAGCCACCGCACCCAGCCCGGAGAUGAAAUAUCUGCAAAAUUUCUGUUAUUUUCUUUAUGCUUUCCCUCUUUUCCAUUUGCCCAAGGAGGCCAGAUGAUUGUCAAAACAGGACGUGGGACUUCCUGGGCACCUUGCCCCCUUCCUCCCUGUAGUAUAUAACAGAAGACAGCAAUCAAGUGAGAUUGGGAAGCAGGGAAUCCUUUAUUUUUUUAUUCAUAUACUUCUAUGUUUGUUUGGUUGGUUGGUUUUAACAAAAUUUUCUCACCAGAAAUGGAGAUUUGUUGGAUUUAAAAUAAAAGCAAUCAGCCAUGUUUUACAUUUCUGUAAAACACUCAAACCAGGCCAUACUCUCCUAUUUUGACUCAAAAUCAGCCAUAUACUGUCCAGGUCAGGAGGCAGGCCCCUGACAUUUAAGCACAGUGUGUUUUCUCAGAAUUGGCCAAGUUGAUGCCAUUCCAGUUUCUCAAUAUAUCAUGACCCAUUAAUUUCAGUCUUUAAAAGUAAACACGUAUUGUUACUGAAAGCCCAGGAAUUCGGUCUAGGCCCUGCUGCUCAGCUCACAGAAAGCCAAUCAUUAAGACAUUGAGUAUUGCUGAGGAAGAAGGCUUUAAUUGGGUGUUGCAGCUGAGGAGAUGGGAGAUCAGUCUUAAAUCAAUCUCCCUGAUCAACUAAAGUGAGGGGUUUAUGUAGCAGGGAAG
Molecule: long non-coding RNA, 3295 nt
Filed under: Homo sapiens (human)
Lineage: Eukaryota; Metazoa; Chordata; Mammalia; Primates; Hominidae
Description: HSALNT0014546
Source: RNAcentral